RNAcentral lists this long non-coding RNA (439 nucleotides) under Equus caballus (horse). Its description in RNAcentral is "lncRNA (ENSECAG00000044935.1)". Lineage: Eukaryota; Metazoa; Chordata; Mammalia; Perissodactyla; Equidae. The record is from RNAcentral.
CAGACACUCCACUGUCGUACAUCCACGCGAGAAUCCUGACACUGAAUCGCUCUCUCCCUCCAAGAUAUAUUUCUCUAGCACGCAGGUUUAAUAUCAGGAAAUUAAGUAUUGUGUUAUAUUACGUCAUUCAGAGAAUCAAAAUAAGCCAACUGAGACAUGAUGGUAAAUUGUGCGCCCGCCUCCUUACAAAUCGCAGCAGAGCAGACAGGUGUCGAAGCUGAUCUGGACCAGUGAGAGAGGGAAGAAGAGAAGAAGUGAACCUUUCAGAAUUCGGCUCACAAAAGCAUGCCCAUUGUUGGAGAAGAAACAGAUCGUGAGGGACAGUCAUUAAUAUUUCCCAUAAGGAAUAACCACUCCUCUGUUUUAAAUGCCUGUGACGAGAUGUGAAUGGAGAUAAUUGACUGAACCCCAAAUCUCCCCCCUGGAACCAAUAAUAAUA